RNAcentral lists this ribosomal RNA (506 nucleotides) under uncultured bacterium. RNAcentral's name for it is "partial 16S ribosomal RNA". It matches the Rfam family "Bacterial small subunit ribosomal RNA", at positions 30 to 523 of the family's 1533-position model. The record is from RNAcentral.
AUUGAACGCUGGCGGCAGGCCUAACACAUGCAAGUCGAGCGGUAGCACAGGAGAGCUUGCUCUCUGGGUGACGAGCGGCGGACGGGUGAGUAAUGUCUGGGAAACUGCCUGAUGGAGGGGGAUAACUACUGGAAACGGUAGCUAAUACCGCAUAACGUCGCAAGACCAAAGAGGGGGACCUUCGGGCCUCUUGCCAACAGAUGUGCCCAGAUGGGAUUAGCUAGUAGGUGGGGUAACGGCUCACCUAGGCGACGAUCCCUAGCUGGUCUGAGAGGAUGACCAGCCACACUGGAACUGAGACACGGUCCAGACUCCUACGGGAGGCAGCAGUGGGGAAUAUUGCACAAUGGGCGCAAGCCUGAUGCAGCCAUGCCGCGUGUAUGAAGAAGGCCUUCGGGUUGUAAAGUACUUUCAGCGGGGAGGAAGGUGCUGAGGUUAAUAACCUCAGCAAUUGACGUUACCCGCAGAAGAAGCACCGGCUAACUCCGUGCCAGCCGCCGCCGUAA